Molecule: ribosomal RNA, 450 nt
Filed under: uncultured Glomeromycotina
Lineage: Eukaryota; Fungi; Glomeromycota
Description: SSU rRNA
Rfam family: Eukaryotic small subunit ribosomal RNA
Source: RNAcentral
AGCAGCCGCGGUAAUUCCAGCUCCAAUAGCGUAUAUUAAAGUUGUUGCAGUUAAAAGCUCGUAGUUGAAUUUCGGGGUCUGUCCAUUGGUCGGGCUUCACGGUCCGUACUGGUGUGACGGGUUCCUACCUUCUGAAUAACCAGCAUGCCAUUCAGUUGGUGCGCCGGGGAAGCAGAGCUAUUACCUUGAAAAAAUUGAGUGCUUAAAGCAGGCUAGUGCUUGAAUAGAUUAGCAUGGAAUAAUAAAAUAGGACGGCAUGGUUCUAUUUUGUUGGUUUCUAGGAUCACCGUAAUAAUUAAUAGGGAUAGUUGGGGGCAUUAGUAUUCAAUUGUCAGAGGUGAAAUUCUUGGAUUUAUUGAAGACUAACUUCUGCGAAAGCAUUUGCCAAGGAUGUUUUCAUUAAUCAAGAACGAAAGUUAGGGAUCGAAGACGAUCAGAUACCGUCGUAGU